Molecule: long non-coding RNA, 203 nt
Organism: Alnus glutinosa
Lineage: Eukaryota; Viridiplantae; Streptophyta; Magnoliopsida; Fagales; Betulaceae
Exons: 3
Source: RefSeq, a predicted model, not a curated record
GUAGAGAUAUUUAAAACUCUGCUCAGAAAAUUCAGUUGAAGUCAAGUUUGCGGUUGAUUCUUGCAUUCUUUUGUCGAUGGGUUGAUUCUCGCAUCUCUCUUCCAGCUUGACGGUUCUUUCGUGUAUUUUCGAGCUGUUUCAUGAGCCUACUCUCAUGGAUUCACAAGACGAAAACCAAAGCUUCAUUACGCUCUUACAAUCAG